AGUCGACGGAUCCUUCGGGAUUUAGUGGCGGACGGGUGAGUAACACGUAAGAACCUGCCUCUAGGACGGGGACAACAGUUGGAAACGACUGCUAAACCCGGAUGAGCCGAAAGGUAAAAGAUUUAUCGCCUAGAGAGGGGCUUGCGUCUGAUUAGCUAGUUGGUAAGGUAAAGGCUUACCAAGGCGACGAUCAGUAGCUGGUCUGAGAGGAUGAUCAGCCACACUGGGACUGAGACACGGCCCAGACUCCUACGGGAGGCAGCAGUGGGGAAUUUUCCGCAAUGGGCGAAAGCCUGACGGAGCAAGACCGCGUGGGGGAGGAAGGUUCUUGGAUUGUCAACCCCUUUUCUCAGGGAAGAACUCAAUGACGGUACCUGAGGAAAAAGCAUCGGCUAACUCCGUGCCAGCAGCCGCGGUAAUACGGGGGAUGCAAGCGUUAUCCGGAAUGAUUGGGCGUAAAGAGUCCGUAGGUAGCCAAUCAAGUCUGCUGUUAAAGAGCGAGGCUUAACUUCGUAAAGGCAGUGGAAACUGGAAGGCUAGAGUGUAGUAGGGGCAGAGGGAAUUCCUGGUGUAGCGGUGAAAUGCGUAGAGAUCAGGAAGAACACCGGUGGCGAAGGCGCUCUGCUGGGCUAUAACUGACACUGAGGGACGAAAGCUAGGGGAGCGAAUGGGAUUAGAUACCCCAGUAGUCCUAGCGGUAAACGAUGGAAACUAGGUGUGGCCUGUAUCGACCCGGGCCGUGCCGAAGCUAACGCGUUAAGUUUCCCGCCUGGGGAGUACGCACGCAAGUGUGAAACUCAAAGGAAUUGACGGGGCCCGCACAAGCGGUGGAGUAUGUGGUUUAAUU
RNAcentral lists this ribosomal RNA (847 nucleotides) under uncultured bacterium. RNAcentral describes it as "bacterial SSU rRNA". It matches the Rfam family "Bacterial small subunit ribosomal RNA", at positions 60 to 951 of the family's 1533-position model. The record is from RNAcentral.